AUAAGCCACCGAAAGGUGGUCUAAUACCUUAUAGUAUCCAUCUCGUAUGGAUUAAAGCUUUAUGCGCUUUGGGAGGGGCCUGCGUUUGAUUAGCUAGUUGGUGAGGUAAAAAGCACACCAAGGCGACGAUCAAUAGCUGGUUUGAGAGGAUGACCAGCCACACUGGGACUGAGAUACGGCCCAGGCUCCUACGGGAGGCAGCAGUAAGGAAUCUUCCACAAUGGGGCAACCCUGAUGGAGCAAUACCGCGUGCAGGAUGAAGCGUUUCGGCGUGUAAACUGCUUUUAUCACCGAAGAUUAUGACUGUAGGUGAAGAAUAAGGACCGGCUAACUACGUG
RNAcentral lists this ribosomal RNA (338 nucleotides) under uncultured bacterium. Its description in RNAcentral is "bacterial SSU rRNA". It matches the Rfam family "Bacterial small subunit ribosomal RNA", at positions 143 to 507 of the family's 1533-position model. The record is from RNAcentral.